AGUCGAGCGGAUGAGAGGAGCUUGCUCUUCGAUUCAGCGGCGGACGGGUGAGUAAUGCCUAGGAAUCUGCCUAGUAGUGGGGGACAACGUUUCGAAAGGAACGCUAAUACCGCAUACGUCCUACGGGAGAAAGUGGGGGAUCUUCGGACCUCACGCUAUUAGAUGAGCCUAGGUCGGAUUAGCUAGUUGGUAGGGUAAAGGCCUGCCAAGGCGACGAUCCGUAACUGGUCUGAGAGGAUGAUCAGUCACACUGGAACUGAGACACGGUCCAGACUCCUACGGGAGGCAGCAGUGGGGAAUAUUGGACAAUGGGCGAAAGCCUGAUCCAGCCAUGCCGCGUGUGUGAAGAAGGCCUUCGGGUCGUAAAGCACUUUAAGUUGGGAGGGAGGGCUCAUAGCGAAUACCUGUGAGUUUUGACGUUACCAACAGAAUAAGCACCGGCUAACUUCGUGCCAGCAGCCGCGGUAAUACGAAGGGUGCAAGCGUUAAUCGGAAUUACUGGGCGUAAAGCGUGCGUAGGUGGUUGUUUAAGUCAGAUGUGAAAGCCCCGGGCUUAACCUGGGAACUGCAUUUGAAACUGGAUAACUAGAGUAUAGUAGAGGAAAGUAGAAUUUCUGGUGUAGCGGUGAAAUGCGUAGAUAUCAGAAGGAAUACCGAUGGCGAAGGCAGCUUUCUGGACUAAUACUGACACUGAGGUACGAAAGCGUGGGUAGCAAACAGGAUUAGAUACCCUGGUAGAAGGGC
This 744-nucleotide ribosomal RNA is filed under the name uncultured Pseudomonadaceae bacterium. RNAcentral's name for it is "bacterial SSU rRNA". It matches the Rfam family "Bacterial small subunit ribosomal RNA", at positions 60 to 795 of the family's 1533-position model. The record is from RNAcentral. Lineage: Bacteria; Pseudomonadati; Pseudomonadota; Gammaproteobacteria; Pseudomonadales; Pseudomonadaceae.